CCCUUAGAUGUUCUGGGCCGCACGCGUGCUACACUGAACGGUUCAAUGGGUAAGGUAGUGCGAAAGCAUGACCUAAUCUCGAAAUCCGUUCGUGCUGGGGAUAGAAGCUUGCAAUUAUCCUUCUUGAACGAGGAAUACCUUGUAAGCGUGAGUCGUCAUCUCACGCUGAAUACGUCCCUGCCCUUUGUACACACCGCCCGUCGCUCCUACCGAUUGAGUGUUCCGGUGAGGCUUUGGGAGAAUGGCCUCAACAUGAGUUUAUCGUGUUUUGCCGUUUGAACUUAGUCAAACCUUAUCACUUAGAGGAAGGAGAAGUCGUAACA
Molecule: ribosomal RNA, 323 nt
Filed under: uncultured eukaryote
Lineage: Eukaryota
Description: partial 18S ribosomal RNA
Rfam family: Eukaryotic small subunit ribosomal RNA
Source: RNAcentral